RNAcentral lists this long non-coding RNA (1341 nucleotides) under Coturnix japonica (Japanese quail). Its description in RNAcentral is "lncRNA (ENSCJPG00005007369.1)". Lineage: Eukaryota; Metazoa; Chordata; Aves; Galliformes; Phasianidae. The record is from RNAcentral.
GAGCAAAAUGGCAGUUUGUUUCUAGGCUCUUUCAUUGAAGGGGCUGAGUUAUUUGGCUGAAAUAUUAAGGAAUUCAGCCAGGGGCAUGGGCAGAGUAUGAAAAGUUUUGGCUUAAACAUAGCUUUUCAAAAGAAGGUGGAAAAACUAAAAACAGUAUUGUAUAAUGGGAAUGGAAGCUGUUGUCAGUGGUGCCUUCAGUGGUGCAUAAUAAGUGCUGCUCGCACCAUAGGUAACAGAGUUUUAACCUGCAGUUGACUGCAGCAAUAAAAUGUUCUUUUAGUACAAAUAUCAGAAUACAUUCAAAAGUCAUUAUUGACCCAUCCUAUGGAAUAUUCAUUUAUCCUCAGCCUACACAGUGCUUUAAUUAGAGGUGCAGGAAACAACCAAGGAACAAACUUGGUCUGGGGGUGUCCCUGGUGUUAUUCUCGUGGGCAUCUUCUAUGAGAGAUAAGGAGACAUAUGGAGAGUGAGAGGUGUGUAUCUGCCCUUCCUGUGUGCCAGCUGAUGUUAAUGUGAUGUACAUACCACUGUGACUCAGCAACAACAAACCUGCAAUUUCCGGCAGCCUUCAGACAUUUGACAUCAGAAUGACUCGGCAUCCAUACAGACAGCUGAAGAGUCCUUAGCACAAUUGCACCAGGAUAUCUCUAAAAGAAUUUAGUAGAAAUACUGUUAGUUUUCAAGGUCUCCUUUUCCUUUUAUUUAGCUAUUGCAGUAAUCUUCCUGGAACUGUUUCAAAAAUAAGUUACAGUCACACAGAGCUUAUUGCAGCUCCAGUACUCUUACAAAACAUUUUUGCAUCUUCUCUGAGAAAUUCUUAUCUCACUUUUUUUUAUACCAAUCCUUUGAUAUUAGGGCAUGGAUGCAUCAAGAACAUGGAGACCCUGGAGGAACUGCACCCACUUUUCUGUUGCUUUAAGGACCAGCUUCUCUCAGUUUUAUUUCUUAGACACUUUUGAUGGCCUACUGAAAAAAAAAUAAGCACAAAUACCCUAAGCAUCCACCAGUACACAUUAUCUGAAAUGGGUUGGGGAGGCAGAUACCAAAGAACAGCACAGAAACACUGAAUGGUUGACAUGGAAGAGACCCCUGGAGGCCACCUGGUUCUACCCUCUGCUCAAGCAAAUAUAUCCAAAGGAGAUUGCCCAGGACCGUGUACAUGUGUGUUUUGAAGAUGUCCAAGGAAGAAGACUCCAGUACCUCUCUGGGCAACCUGAGCCAGUGCUCCAUGAUGGUACGUUAAACUGCUUCCCGAUGUUCAGACAGAAUCUCCUGCAUUCAGGUUUGUGUUCAUUGUCACUUGUCCUCUCUCUGGAUACCUCUGAAAAGAGUCUGGCUCUG